Molecule: ribosomal RNA, 500 nt
Filed under: uncultured Paraglomus
Lineage: Eukaryota; Fungi; Glomeromycota; Glomeromycetes; Paraglomerales; Paraglomeraceae
Also listed under: 1 other name
Description: SSU rRNA
Rfam family: Eukaryotic small subunit ribosomal RNA
Source: RNAcentral
CCAAUAGCGUAUAUUAAAGUUGUUGCAGUUAAAAAGCUCGUAGUUGAAUUUCAGGCCUGGCUGGACGGUCCGCCCUUCGGGUGAGUACUGUCUGUGGUCGGGUCCUACCUUCUGGCGAAGCGUCAUGGCCUUAACCGGCCGUGGCGGGGAACCAGGACUUUUACUGUGAAAAAAUUAGAGUGUUCAAAGCAGGCAAUCGCUUGGAUACAUUAGCAUGGAAUAAUGGAAUAGGACAAUGGUUCUAUUUGUUGGUUUCUAGGACCGUUGUAAUGAUUAAUAGGGAUAGUUGGGGGCAUUAGUAUUCAAUUGUCAGAGGUGAAAUUCUUGGAUUUAUUGAAGACUAACUACUGCGAAAGCAUUUGCCAAGGAUGUUUUCAUUAAUCAAGAACGAAAGUUAGGGGAUCGAAGACGAUCAGAUACCGUCGUAGUCUUAACCAUAAACUAUGCCGACUAGGGAUCGGAUGAUGUUAAUUUUAUAAUGACUCAUUCGGCGCCUUACG